AAGUCGUAACAAGGUUUCCGUAGGUGAACCUGCGGAAGGAUCAUUACUAAAUGAACCUGAAUGGAUUUAUUCCGUUCUUAUUUCAUUGUGAACAUUAUACCUUAGGCUGGGCCCGUGGGAACUCCUUCGGGGGAACCCGUGGGAAUCAGGGGUAACUCUGAUUUUCUCACCUUUGGUUAUUCUAACAACUUGUUUAUUUAAAUUGUCUUAAGUAAAUUUAUUUCAAUUAAAUACAACUUUCAGCAACGGAUCUCUUGGUUCUC
This 263-nucleotide unclassified non-coding RNA is filed under the name fungal sp. RNAcentral's name for it is "partial internal transcribed spacer region". The stretch from base 1 to 46 matches the Rfam family "Eukaryotic small subunit ribosomal RNA", at positions 1786 to 1831 of the family's 1831-position model. The record is from RNAcentral. Lineage: Eukaryota; Fungi.